This is a non-coding RNA of Camelina sativa (false flax), 541 nucleotides long. Lineage: Eukaryota; Viridiplantae; Streptophyta; Magnoliopsida; Brassicales; Brassicaceae. The record is from RefSeq and is a predicted model, not a curated record.
GAGAGGUUACCGCCACAAGAAGAAGAAGAAGAAGGUAGUCUAUCGCGGAGGUCUCGUGCUCGAGAAGGAUCCUAAAGGCAAGGGAAAGGCUUGUUAUGGAGGAUGAUAGUUCUAGUUCUGAACCUGAAGAACGGCCUACACUCUCUCUUCCGACCUGAAAAAUCCCGACUGGACUAAAGAGUAUGACCUGCCUAAGUGUCCCACCCCUUGUAGGAUGUUUAACUGGUCAGAUGAGGACUACGAACUCUAUGACGAAUUUCUUUCUGAUUGCCAAGUUUAACGCCCUGGGAUUCAGCAAAAGAGAGAAGACAUACGCUAUGUGCGCAUGAGGGAUCCCUCGAGCAAUCUGCCUGAAGCGGGGCAACGAGUUCUUCUGAUCAAUGAGUUGCUCGAGCCAUCUGAAAUAAUUUGGAGUCAUAUGUUUUCAAAUGACAAACGAUAAACCCUUCUCUGGUUCUCUCAAGUAUUUUUUAGCUUCAAAUAAUUCUGUGUUAUCUACCUGAUAACAACUGUAAUUGCCGCACUUCCGUUUUCCCUUUAA